AUACUUACCUGGCGUAGAGGCUACCGUGAUCACUAAGGCGGUUCCUCCAGGGUGAGGCUCUUCCAUUGCACUACGGUGAGGGCUGACCCCUGCGAAUAUCCCUAAUGUGGAUAUCUCGUGCGUAAAAUUUUUGUUAGUCGGGACUGCGUUCGCGCUAUCCCGG
Molecule: non-coding RNA, 163 nt
Organism: Solenopsis invicta (red fire ant)
Lineage: Eukaryota; Metazoa; Arthropoda; Insecta; Hymenoptera; Formicidae
Source: Rfam